AUUGAACGCUGGCGGCAUGCCUUACACAUGCAAGUCGAACGGCAGCGGGUACUUCGGUCCGCCGGCGAGUGGCGAACGGGUGAGUAAUGUAUCGGAACGUACCUUUCAGUGGGGGAUAACGUAGCGAAAGUUACGCUAAUACCGCAUAUUCUCUGAGAAGGAAAGCAGGGGACGUUCGGGCCUUGCGCUGAUGGAGCGGCCGAUAGCAGAUUAGCUAGUUGGUGGGGUAAAGGCUCACCAAGGCUACGAUCUGUAGCGGGUCUGAGAGGAUGAUCCGCCACACUGGGACUGAGACACGGCCCAGACUCCUACGGGAGGCAGCAGUGGGGAAUUUUGGACAAUGGGCGAAAGCCUGAUCCAGCCAUGCCGCGUGAGUGAAGAAGGCCUUCGGGUUGUAAAGCUCUUUCGGACGGGAAGAAAUCAUGAGGGCUAAUAUCCCUUGUGGAUGACGGUACCGUAAUAAGAAGCACCGGCUAACUACGUGCCAGCCGCCGCCGUAA
This 500-nucleotide ribosomal RNA is filed under the name uncultured bacterium. RNAcentral's name for it is "partial 16S ribosomal RNA". It matches the Rfam family "Bacterial small subunit ribosomal RNA", at positions 30 to 523 of the family's 1533-position model. The record is from RNAcentral.